This 345-nucleotide unclassified non-coding RNA is filed under the name soil metagenome. RNAcentral describes it as "partial contains 5.8S ribosomal RNA, internal transcribed spacer 2, and large subunit ribosomal RNA". The stretch from base 1 to 120 matches the Rfam family "5.8S ribosomal RNA", at positions 35 to 154 of the family's 154-position model. The record is from RNAcentral.
GAUGAAGAACGCAGCAAAAUGCGAUAAGUAAUGUGAAUUGCAGAAUUCAGUGAAUCAUCGAGUCUUUGAACGCACAUUGCGCCCCCUGGUAUUCCGGGGGGCAUGCCUGUCCGAGCGUCAUUGCUGCCCUCAAGCACGGCUUGUGUGUUGGGCCUCCGUCCUCCUCCCGGGGGACGGGCCCGAAAGGCAGCGGCGGCACCGCGUCCGGUCCUCGAGCGUAUGGGGCUUCGUCACCCGCUCUUGUAGGCCCGGCCGGCGCUUGCCGACACAUCAAUCUUUUUUCCAGGUUGACCUCGGAUCAGGUAGGGAUACCCGCUGAACUUAAGCAUAUCAAUAAGCGGAGGA